RNAcentral lists this long non-coding RNA (1159 nucleotides) under Sus scrofa (pig). RNAcentral's name for it is "lncRNA (ENSSSCG00005001803.1)". Lineage: Eukaryota; Metazoa; Chordata; Mammalia; Artiodactyla; Suidae. The record is from RNAcentral.
UUUUUUUUUUGCCUUUUUUAAACAUUUUUUGCAUUAAAGUUGGUCGACAGUGUUCUGUCAAUUUUCUGCUGUACAGAAAAGUGACCCAGUCACACACACACACACACACACACACACAUUUCUUUUCUUACGCUAUCCUGCAUCAUGCUCCAUCACAAGGGACUCGAUAGAGUUUCCUGUGCUCUACAGCAGGAUCUCUUUGCUUCCCCCCCCAAUACAAAUUUUUAUACAAUAAAAAAAAUUAACUCAUAUGCAUCAAAUGCAGCCAAAAAAUUUUUUUUAAUAAAAUAAAAUAAAAAUGACAGAGGUAGGGACUUUUCCACAGAGGGAGGACACCUGGCAGUGAAGUCCUUCAAUCUGAGGCAAUGAAAUUUUUUUUUGACAGCUUGCUCAUUUAUUCCUGAGGGGCUCGGCCCCUGUACUCCUCAGACCCACCCCACCCCUGGCCCCGUGUCUAAAUGGUUUUCUCUUACUGGGAUCUAUGCAGGUAAAGUAUAUGUUGGUUACUUACUGAUCUCUGCAGAGACCCGGACUGAGAGGACACACAGAGAGACAGAGACAGAGAGAGAGGUUUAUUUGAAGGAAGUGACUGAUUCCACUGCAGAGGGGCCAAACCCCAAAUCUGCAGAGUAGACCAGCUGAGGUUCCAGCUCGAGUCCCAAGACCCCCUGGAGGCAGAACUCCUUCUUCCUUGGGAAACCGCAGGUCCUUUUUGGCUCCUAAGAUCUUCAACUGAUUAGACAAGGCCCACCCACUUUACGGAGCACAAUCUGGUUCACUCAAAGUCUACUGAUGUCAGUGGGGCCUUUUGGGGCAGGGGUUGUUUUUGUGGCCACACCCAUGACAUGCAGAUUCCCCGGCCAGAGAUCAAACCUGUGCCACAGCUGUGACAAUGCCAGAUCCUCAACCUUCUGAGCCACCAGGGAACUCCUAUCACCAUUUCUUUUUCAUUGAAGUAGAGUUGACUCACAAUGCUGUCUUAGUUUCAGGUGUACAGCCACGUGACCCAGUUAUACACAUAACUACACACACACACACACUCAUUAUUUUCCAGAUCCUUUCCCCUUAUAAGUUAUUACAAAAUACUAAGUAUACUUCUGUACGCUAGGUCCUUAUUGGUUCUCUAUUUUAUAUGCAGUGGUAUGUAGACAUUAAUCCC